RNAcentral lists this ribosomal RNA (483 nucleotides) under uncultured bacterium. Its description in RNAcentral is "partial 16S ribosomal RNA". It matches the Rfam family "Bacterial small subunit ribosomal RNA", at positions 28 to 507 of the family's 1533-position model. The record is from RNAcentral.
GACGAACGCUGGCGGCGUGCUUAACACAUGCAAGUCGAACGCUGAAGCUCAGCUUUUGUUGGGUGGAUGAGUGGCGAACGGGUGAGUAACACGUGAGUAACCUGCCUCCUUCUUUGGGAUAACGCCCGGAAACGGGUGCUAAUACUGGAUAUUCACUGGUCUUCGCAUGGGGGUUGGUGGAAAGGGUUUUUCUGGUGGGGGAUGGGCUCGCGGCCUAUCAGCUUGUUGGUGGGGUGAUGGCCUACCAAGGCUUUGACGGGUAGCCGGCCUGAGAGGGUGACCGGUCACAUUGGGACUGAGAUACGGCCCAGACUCCUACGGGAGGCAGCAGUGGGGAAUAUUGCACAAUGGGCGCAAGCCUGAUGCAGCGACGCCGCGUGAGGGAUGGAGGCCUUCGGGUUGUGAACCUCUUUCGCUCAUGGUCAAGCCGCAACAAUGGUUGUGGUGAGGGUAGUGGGUAAGGAAGCGCCGGCUAACUACGUG